RNAcentral lists this ribosomal RNA (253 nucleotides) under uncultured bacterium. Its description in RNAcentral is "partial 16S ribosomal RNA". It matches the Rfam family "Bacterial small subunit ribosomal RNA", at positions 524 to 776 of the family's 1533-position model. The record is from RNAcentral.
UACAGAGGUCUCAAGCGUUGUUCGGAUUCAUUGGGCGUAAAGGGCGCGUAGGCGGCGCGGUAAGUCGGGUGUGAAAUCUCGGAGCUUAACUCCGAAACUGCAUUCGAUACUGCCGUGCUUGAGGACUGGAGAGGAGACUGGAAUUUACGGUGUAGCGGUGAAAUGCGUAGAUAUCGUAAGGAAGACCAGUGGCGAAGGCGGGUCUCUGGACAGUUCCUGACGCUGAGACGCGAAGGCCAGGGGAGCAAACGGG